This 253-nucleotide ribosomal RNA is filed under the name uncultured bacterium. Its description in RNAcentral is "partial 16S ribosomal RNA". It matches the Rfam family "Bacterial small subunit ribosomal RNA", at positions 524 to 776 of the family's 1533-position model. The record is from RNAcentral.
UACGGAGGGGGUUAGCGUUGUUCGGAAUUACUGGGCGUAAAGCGCGCGUAGGCGGAUUAGAAAGUUGGGGGUGAAAUCCCGGGGCUCAACCCCGGAACUGCCUCCAAAACUACUAGUCUAGAGUUCGAGAGAGGUGAGUGGAAUUCCGAGUGUAGAGGUGAAAUUCGUAGAUAUUCGGAGGAACACCAGUGGCGAAGGCGGCUCACUGGCUCGAUACUGACGCUGAGGUGCGGAAGUGUGGGGAGCAAACAGG